AGAGGGUGCAAGCGUUGUUCGGAAUUAUUGGGCGUAAAGCGCGUGUAGGCGGCUUUGCAAGUCGGGUGUGAAAGCCCUCAGCUCAACUGAGGAAGUGCGCCCGAAACUGCAGAGCUUGAGUACCGGAGAGGAUGGUGGAAUUCCCCAAGUAGAGGUGAAAUUCGUAGAUAUGGGGAGGAACACCGGUGGCGAAGGCGACCAUCUGGACGGAUACUGACGCUGAGACGCGAAAGCGUGGGUAGCAAACAGGAUUAGAUACCCUGGUAGUCCACGCCGUAAACGAUGAGAACUAGGUGUCGGGGGUGUUGACCCCCGCGGUGCCGUAGCUAACGCAUUAAGUUCUCCGCCUGGGAAGUACGGCCGCAAGGCUA
This 371-nucleotide ribosomal RNA is filed under the name uncultured bacterium. Its description in RNAcentral is "bacterial SSU rRNA". It matches the Rfam family "Bacterial small subunit ribosomal RNA", at positions 527 to 896 of the family's 1533-position model. The record is from RNAcentral.